UUUUUCUGUGGUGAUCUUAAUAAUCAUUGCACUCUUUUUAUUCUUUAAUUGGUUUUCGAAAACUGAUUAAAAGAGGAGUAAUCCUCCCUGCACCUCCUGGAUCUCGUCCUGCAUCUCCUCCCUCACGUUUAAUUUCAACUGUGUCCCUAUCAGCCUUGUCCCCCUAUGGUCUUGGGUUUAUAAAAAGUAACUCUGCCGCAAUUCAAAAAAACCCUACACCCCC
Molecule: long non-coding RNA, 223 nt
Filed under: Vigna radiata
Lineage: Eukaryota; Viridiplantae; Streptophyta; Magnoliopsida; Fabales; Fabaceae
Description: long non-coding RNA (VRAD_LNC007955)
Source: RNAcentral